This 73-nucleotide transfer RNA is filed under the name Vincetoxicum auriculatum. RNAcentral's name for it is "Cynanchum auriculatum tRNA-Phe". It matches the Rfam family "tRNA". Rfam says of the family: Transfer RNA (tRNA) molecules are approximately 80 nucleotides in length. Their secondary structure includes four short double-helical elements and three loops (D, anti-codon, and T loops). The record is from RNAcentral. Lineage: Eukaryota; Viridiplantae; Streptophyta; Magnoliopsida; Gentianales; Apocynaceae. RNAcentral also lists the same sequence under 1 other name.
GUCGGGAUAGCUCAGCUGGUAGAGCAGAGGACUGAAAAUCCUCGUGUCACCAGUUCCAAUCAGGUUCCUGGCA